RNAcentral lists this ribosomal RNA (253 nucleotides) under uncultured bacterium. RNAcentral describes it as "partial 16S ribosomal RNA". It matches the Rfam family "Bacterial small subunit ribosomal RNA", at positions 524 to 776 of the family's 1533-position model. The record is from RNAcentral.
UACGUAGGGUGCGAGCGUUAAUCGGAAUUACUGGGCGUAAAGCGUGCGCAGGCGGUUCGUUAAGUCAGAUGUGAAAGCCCCGGGCUCAACCUGGGAACUGCAUUUGAAACUGGCGGGCUUGAGUGUGGCAGAGGGGGGUGGAAUUCCGCGUGUAGCAGUGAAAUGCGUAGAGAUGCGGAGGAACACCGAUGGCGAAGGCAGCCCCCUGGGCCAACACUGACGCUCAGGUACGAAAGCGUGGGGAGCAAACAGG